Molecule: ribosomal RNA, 628 nt
Filed under: Erwinia sp.
Lineage: Bacteria; Pseudomonadati; Pseudomonadota; Gammaproteobacteria; Enterobacterales; Erwiniaceae
Description: bacterial SSU rRNA
Rfam family: Bacterial small subunit ribosomal RNA
Source: RNAcentral
UGCAGUCGGACGGUAGCACAGAGGAGCUUGCUCCUUGGGUGACGAGUGGCGGACGGGUGAGUAGUGUCUGGGGAUCUGCCCGAUAGAGGGGGAUAACCACUGGAAACGGUGGCUAAUACCGCAUAACGUCGCAAGACCAAAGAGGGGGACCUUCGGGCCUCUCACUAUCGGAUGAACCCAGAUGGGAUUAGCUAGUAGGCGGGGUAAUGGCCCACCUAGGCGACGAUCCCUAGCUGGUCUGAGAGGAUGACCAGCCACACUGGAACUGAGACACGGUCCAGACUCCUACGGGAGGCAGCAGUGGGGAAUAUUGCACAGUGGGCGCAAGCCUGAUGCACCCAUGCCGCGUGUAUGAAGAAGGCCUUCGGGUUGUAAAGUACUUUCAGCGGGGAGGAAGGCGAUGCGGUUAAUAACCGCGUCGAUUGACGUUACCCGCAGAAGAAGCACCGGCUAACUCCGUGCCAGCAGCCGCGGUAAUACGGAGGGUGCAAGCGUUAAUCGGAAUUACUGGGCGUAAAGCGCACGCAGGCGGUCUGUUAAGUCAGAUGUGAAAUCCCCGGGCUUAACCUGGGAACUGCAUUUGAAACUGGCAGGCUUGAGUCUUGUAGAGGGGGGUAGAAUUCCGGGU